CGGCGACGGGUGAGUAACACGUGGGUAACCUACCUAUAAGACUGGGACAACUUCGGGAAACCGGAGCUAAUACCGGAUAAGAUAUCGAACCGCAUGGUUCGAUAGUGAAAGAUGGUUUUGCUAUCACUUUAUAGAUGGACCCGCGCCGUAUUAGCUAGUUGGUGAGGUAACGGCUCACCAAGGCAACGAUACGUAGCCGACCUGAGAGGGUGAUCGGCCACACUGGAACUGAGACACGGUCCAGACUCCUACGGGAGGCAGCAGC
This 265-nucleotide ribosomal RNA is filed under the name uncultured Staphylococcus sp. RNAcentral's name for it is "partial 16S ribosomal RNA". It matches the Rfam family "Bacterial small subunit ribosomal RNA", at positions 96 to 355 of the family's 1533-position model. Lineage: Bacteria; Bacillati; Bacillota; Bacilli; Caryophanales; Staphylococcaceae. The record is from RNAcentral.